RNAcentral lists this small RNA (29 nucleotides) under Bombyx mori (domestic silkworm). Its description in RNAcentral is "ovarian small RNA-35863". The record is from RNAcentral. Lineage: Eukaryota; Metazoa; Arthropoda; Insecta; Lepidoptera; Bombycidae.
UGUCUUUGAUAGGAUGACCUUAGUUGUAA